Molecule: long non-coding RNA, 245 nt
Filed under: Nothobranchius furzeri (turquoise killifish)
Lineage: Eukaryota; Metazoa; Chordata; Actinopteri; Cyprinodontiformes; Nothobranchiidae
Description: lncRNA (ENSNFUG00015006198.1)
Source: RNAcentral
GCAUGAUCUCAUUUUGCAUUCUCCCUCUGCAGAGACGGAGACGUCCCUGUGCUGGAAAACAAAGAUAAUUUGUCAGAAGGUGACAGCAGCAGUUCAGAGAACGCUGGAACGUCCACCGAGGACAGCUCAGAGGAGGAAAACGAGGAGGAAUCAGGUGAGAGACUUCUAUACAGGCUCAUGCCUGCGCUAAUGUUUGGUCAUGUGACUCUCAGCAAGUUGCACCUUUAAUGAGACGUUUCUGGAUC